AUGUCGCGCUUCUAUUCUUCUUUUCCUGGGAAUAGCCUCCGGGCUAUGCGGAGUCUGUGAUGUGGACCCCAGAAUGGGAAUGUUCGUUGCAACAGCCGUUGGACGUGCGACGCACCAUUUCAUCAACAAGUGCUGGAAGUACAUCAGACAACUCCAUGUGAAGCCCGACUCAAAAUUGUUCAACGACGUUACAAACUUUGCCUGCGCCAACGGAGACUAUUGCGUGGCUAAAGUUGGCGAAGAAAUACCCAAGUAUGGAGAAU
Long non-coding RNA from Ornithodoros turicata, 263 nucleotides. RefSeq lists it as uncharacterized. The transcript has 4 exons. The record is from RefSeq and is a predicted model, not a curated record. NCBI's taxonomy places the organism in Eukaryota, Metazoa, Arthropoda, Arachnida, Ixodida, Argasidae.